AUUCUGCCCUUGCAUCAUACCAUCGUCUCUCUCUACCAACCAACCAACCUCUCACAAACCCCAUCUCUUUUUCAUCAAUUGUGAUUUCAAUUGACUGAUUUCGUUUCAUUGUCAAUUAGUAACAAACAACAAUUGGGAUGGAGGUCAUCUUAUUCACUUACCCGUUUUUGUUUAAACAGCCCCAAAGUCCUCAUUCUUCUCGCAUCAGUCAUUCAGCGUUCUCUAAACCUAACCCUCACCAUCGCCGGAAGAUACCAACGAUUUGAUCCGUAAUACAGUGGAAGGUGACACACAAAGAAACCCUGUGCCCGAUUGUCGAGUGGAGUGGAGCUUUUGUACAACUAGGGGCCGGUAUAUUCAACCCGGUAGAAUUGCGGGACCCGUGGAGAAGAAACUUUACUUGUUCAUUGAAGAAGGUACUGAACAAUCUGUUAAACGGGCUAAAGCGGAAUUGAAACGUGUUCUAGAAGGCAUCACAUCACAGGCAUCUCUUCCAAAUUCAAAAUCGGGAGGAUAUAUGUGUUGACUGUUGAGCAAUUGUCUUUGACAUAUACGAUUGCUUUUAGUGGCUGCUAGAAGAUGGUGAUCAAAAACCUUCAUUCCCACUAAGAAAAUGUUGGUCGGCUAGGCCUUUGGUGCCUUUUCGACAGUGUUCUGAAGUUACGACCGCUAUGUGUGAUGUUAGACUGUAGGGGUUUGAAAAACUUGAAGAAAUAGUUGGCAAGUGGGAGGGGGUACCAAAAUCAUCAUCGCGAUACUAGCGAUACUACUUGAAGCUUUUUACCAACAAAGAAACAUAUGAAGCUGUAGACGCACUUGCAAGGGUGGAGAAUAAGAUUGCUCAUCAACUCGCAAUCGAGAUCAUUCGUAAUUAUUUUAACUGUUUUGAAUAUUAAGUUACAUGUGUUUUUUUUUUCUACCGUUCAAUCCGUGUGACACACAGGUAAUAACCUAGUAUAUAUAUAUAUAUAUAUAUAUAUAUGGUUACUAAAGAAAACUU
This 1000-nucleotide long non-coding RNA is filed under the name Helianthus annuus (common sunflower). RNAcentral's name for it is "hypothetical non coding rna". Lineage: Eukaryota; Viridiplantae; Streptophyta; Magnoliopsida; Asterales; Asteraceae. The record is from RNAcentral.